This 476-nucleotide unclassified non-coding RNA is filed under the name Hevea brasiliensis (rubber tree). Lineage: Eukaryota; Viridiplantae; Streptophyta; Magnoliopsida; Malpighiales; Euphorbiaceae. The record is from RNAcentral.
UAUUAGAAAGACAAUUCCGAUAUGUUCCUCCAAUGCUAUGAAAAAGCCGGUCAGCAUGAUCGAAUUUGCCACCCUGAAGAUUACGGUGGAGGGCUGUAAAAGGUUCCAGUCUCAGGAGGUAAAAUAGCACAAUUCCCAUGCUCGAGUAAUGAGAACCAUAGUAGAAACUGGGAAUAUCAGGGUCAGAGAAGCUGCGAUAUCUAUCCUCAAAGACCUCGAACCUUUUAGCAUCCAGUGCUCCAACAGGUUUUGAUAGAUCCCUAAAGGUAGAAGAUUUGUUAAAAUCAAGAGUUUCCGACGAAUAAUCAGCUAGAAUCCAAGGGAACACGGGAUACUGGGUCAAAUCAUUGUAAGAUCUCCCAGCUAGGGUGUUCAGAGCCAUCAAAUACUCAAAGUUUGUUAUCUCCCUCCUCUUCCAGCGUUCUCUAGCAUUUUCUGCCAUCUCCAAUGCCACACGUCUGUCCACAAAAGAAAUA